Molecule: ribosomal RNA, 571 nt
Filed under: Vasdavidius concursus
Lineage: Eukaryota; Metazoa; Arthropoda; Insecta; Hemiptera; Aleyrodidae
Description: partial small subunit ribosomal RNA
Source: RNAcentral
UACCUUUUAUUAAAUCUAUUUUUAAUUAAUUCAAAUUAAAAUUCUUUUAAAAAUAAUUUUAAAUUUAUAAGUAAAAUUUAUAUUUUAACAUUAAUUUCUGAUAAAUUAUGAGUUAAAAUUUUGUAAAAAACAGGGAUUAGAUACCCCUUUAUAGAAAAUAAUCUUUAAAAUAAAGUAGUAAAAGUAUUUAUAGACUUCAAACUUAAAAAAUUUGGCAGUAUAUUUAAAUAAUUAGAGGAACCUGUUCUGUAAUCGAUAAUCCACGUGAGUAUUAACUUUUUGUUCUUGUGCUUAAAUAUCGCUGUAAAAUGUUAAUUUAGAAAAUUUUUUAUUAAAAUUAUCAUUUAAGAUAAUAUUUCAAGUCAACACUUAGCUAUUAAAGAAGAAAUGGGUUACAUUUAUUUAGAAUAAUUAGAUAGAAUUUGUAAGUUUUUAAUAAAAAGGAUUUAAAAUUAAUAAAAAUUUAUUCAGGUUUUAUGAAUUGUCAAUUUAAUAUGUACAAAUUGCCCGUCACUCCUAUUUUUAGGAUAAGUCGUAACAUAGUAAGAUUACUGGAAAGUAAACUUAGAAA